Molecule: ribosomal RNA, 557 nt
Filed under: uncultured bacterium
Lineage: Bacteria
Description: bacterial SSU rRNA
Rfam family: Bacterial small subunit ribosomal RNA
Source: RNAcentral
AACACGUGGGAACGUGCCUUUAGGUUCGGAAUAGCUCCUGGAAACGGGUGGUAAUGCCGAAUGUGCCCUUCGGGGGAAAGAUUUAUCGCCUUUAGAGCGGCCCGCGUCUGAUUAGCUAGUUGGUGGGGUAAUGGCCCACCAAGGCUACGAUCAGUAGCUGGUCUGAGAGGAUGACCAGCCACAUUGGGACUGAGACACGGCCCAAACUCCUACGGGAGGCAGCAGUGGGGAAUCUUGCGCAAUGGGCGAAAGCCUGACGCAGCCAUGCCGCGUGUAUGAUGAAGGUCUUAGGAUUGUAAAAUACUUUCACCGGUGAAGAUAAUGACUGUAGCCGGAGAAGAAGCCCCGGCUAACUUCGUGCCAGCAGCCGCGGUAAUACGAAGGGGGCUAGCGUUGCUCGGAAUUACUGGGCGUAAAGGGAGCGUAGGCGGACAUUUAAGUCAGAGAUGAAAUCCCGGAGCUUAACUUCGGAACUGCCUUUGAUACUGGGUGUCUUGAGUGUGAGAGAGGUAUGUGGAACUCCGAGUGUAGAGGUGAAAUUCGUAGAUAUUCGGAAG